CAAGGCGACGAUCCCUAGCUGGUCUGAGAGGAUGACCAGCCACACUGGAACUGAGACACGGUCCAGACUCCUACGGGAGGCAGCAGUGGGGAAUAUUGCACAAUGGGCGCAAGCCUGAUGCAGCCAUGCCGCGUGUAUGAAGAAGGCCUUCGGGUUGUAAAGUACUUUCAGCGGGGAGGAAGGUGUUGUGGUUAAUAACCGCAGCAAUUGACGUUACCCGCAGAAGAAGCACCGGCUAACUCCGUGCCAGCAGCCGCGGUAAUACGGAGGGUGCAAGCGUUAAUCGGAAUUACUGGGCGUAAAGCGCACGCAGGCGGUCUGUCAAGUCGGAUGUGAAAUCCCCGGGCUCAACCUGGGAACUGCAUUCGAAACUGGCAGGCUUGAGUCUUGUAGAGGGGGGUAGAAUUCCAGGUGUAGCGGUGAAAUGCGUAGAGAUCUGGAGGAAUACCGGUGGCGAAGGCGGCCCCCUGGACAAAGACUGACGCUCAGGUGCGAAAGCGUGGGGAGCAAA
This 511-nucleotide ribosomal RNA is filed under the name Salmonella enterica. RNAcentral describes it as "bacterial SSU rRNA". It matches the Rfam family "Bacterial small subunit ribosomal RNA", at positions 269 to 772 of the family's 1533-position model. The record is from RNAcentral. Lineage: Bacteria; Pseudomonadati; Pseudomonadota; Gammaproteobacteria; Enterobacterales; Enterobacteriaceae.